UGGGUUUGCUUUGAUUUGUUUCAGUUCAUUGGUGGUCAGCAAAUUAUUUUGGUGACUUAACCUUUUUCACUCCCUGGUUGGUAGUCUCAAUCCCUGCUCUCAUCAUUUUUACUCCCAUUUACUUCCCUUCAUCUUAUAUUAUUGGCUUUCCCUCCAUGUUCUACUCUUCCAUUCUUUCCGAAGGCCCAUCUGGAAACAUGGAUUCUGAUUCUCUCAUGAAAGAAUGCAUGGGCUGCCUGUGGAAACUUUCACAUUUGAAUUCCUUAGUUUUCAGAGACAUUCCUGCUUCAUGAUUCAAUGAUCUAAAAAGUAAGCCCAUUUUUUCCCAGAAAUCAAAAUGAAGGCUAACUCAUUCUUGACAACCAAGAAGAUGCUAGAAUUUCCUUUAGAACACUUGACUUCCCAAUCACUGUAUAAUCCAGGGACUCAAAAUACAGAAUUAAGAUUGGUAAGCAAGCAAAGUGUUUCAUUAAUACCUUCAAAUUUAUAGCCUUUUGCUUACUUGGUAAGACUUAAUAUAUACAUAAUUUUCAAAUAUUAAGUGCUUUUUAAAUGUUGGCAGUUAUUUACAAAAAAGUAUUUCAUAUUCUUAUGAGAUUGUGUUUCUCAUAUUUCUCAUAAUAAAGAUGUAUAACACCUGUACAGUG
RNAcentral lists this long non-coding RNA (647 nucleotides) under Rattus norvegicus (Norway rat). RNAcentral's name for it is "long non-coding RNA NONRATT008140". The record is from RNAcentral. Lineage: Eukaryota; Metazoa; Chordata; Mammalia; Rodentia; Muridae.